AGCGCAGGCGGGAAGACAAGUUGGAAGUGAAAUCUAUGGGCUCAACCCAUAAACUGCUUUCAAAACUGUUUUUCUUGAGUAGUGCAGAGGUAGGCGGAAUUCCUAGUGUAGCGGUGAAAUGCGUAGAUAUUAGGAGGAACACCAGUGGCGAAGGCGGCUUACUGGACUGACAAUGACGCUGAGGCUCGAAAGCGUGGGGAGCAAACA
This 207-nucleotide ribosomal RNA is filed under the name uncultured bacterium. RNAcentral's name for it is "partial 16S ribosomal RNA". It matches the Rfam family "Bacterial small subunit ribosomal RNA", at positions 568 to 774 of the family's 1533-position model. The record is from RNAcentral.